Molecule: ribosomal RNA, 537 nt
Filed under: Clostridioides difficile
Lineage: Bacteria; Bacillati; Bacillota; Clostridia; Peptostreptococcales; Peptostreptococcaceae
Description: bacterial SSU rRNA
Rfam family: Bacterial small subunit ribosomal RNA
Source: RNAcentral
UUUUAUUUGAGAGUUUGAUCCUGGCUCAGGAUGAACGCUGGCGGCGUGCCUAACACAUGCAAGUUGAGCGAUUUACUUCGGUAAAGAGCGGCGGACGGGUGAGUAACGCGUGGGUAACCUACCCUGUACACACGGAUAACAUACCGAAAGGUAUGCUAAUACGGGAUAAUAUAUUUGAGAGGCAUCUCUUGAAUAUCAAAGGUGAGCCAGUACAGGAUGGACCCGCGUCUGAUUAGCUAGUUGGUAAGGUAACGGCUUACCAAGGCGACGAUCAGUAGCCGACCUGAGAGGGUGAUCGGCCACAUUGGAACUGAGACACGGUCCAAACUCCUACGGGAGGCAGCAGUGGGGAAUAUUGCACAAUGGGCGAAAGCCUGAUGCAGCAACGCCGCGUGAGUGAUGAAGGCCUUCGGGUCGUAAAACUCUGUCCUCAAGGAAGAUAAUGACGGUACUUGAGGAGGAAGCCCCGGCUAACUACGUGCCAGCAGCCGCGGUAAUACGUAGGGGGCUAGCGUUAUCCGGAUUUACUGGGCGUAA